RNAcentral lists this ribosomal RNA (1854 nucleotides) under Saccharum hybrid cultivar. RNAcentral's name for it is "bacterial LSU rRNA". It matches the Rfam family "Bacterial large subunit ribosomal RNA", at positions 1125 to 2836 of the family's 2925-position model. The record is from RNAcentral. Lineage: Eukaryota; Viridiplantae; Streptophyta; Magnoliopsida; Poales; Poaceae.
AAAGAGUGCGUAAUAGCUCACUGGUCAAGUGAUUCCGCGCCGACAAUGUAACGGGGCUCAAGCACACCACCGAAGUUGUAGAUUUCGCACUAUAGACAAGCCUUCGUGGUUCAGUCGUGCGGAGUGGUAGGAGAGCGUCGUGUGGCGAGUGAAGCGGCGGAGGAAUCCAGCCGUGGACGCCACACGAGUGAGAAUGCAGGCAUGAGUAGCGAAAGACGUGUGAGAAACACGUCCUCCGAAAGACCAAGGGUUCCAGGGUCAAGCUAAUCUGCCCUGGGUAAGUCGGGACCUAAGGCGAGGCCGACAGGCGUAGUCGAUGGACAACGGGUUGAUAUUCCCGUGCCCACGCAAGCGCGUCCAGUGGCGAGGCUGUUGAUACUAACCACCUGUUGUGUGUUCGGUGCCUUCGGGUGUUGAGCAUGUGAUGGCUGGGAUCUGAUUCGGUAGUAGUCAAGCGAUGGGGUGACGCAGGAGGGUAGCUCCGCCAGGCGUUGGUUGUCCUGGUGCAAGCCUGUAGCCCGACAUCCAGGUAAAUCCGGGUGUCUGACUUUGAUGUCGUGGGUGAGAGGUGAUGCGUAGCCGAUUGAGGCGAAGUAGGGUGAUCCCAUGCUGCCGAGAAAAGCCUCUAGCGAGUGCUGUUGCGGCCCGUACCCUAAACCGACACAGGUGGUCAGGUAGAGAAUACCGAGGCGAUCGAGCGAACUGUGGUUAAGGAACUCGGCAAAAUGCCCCCGUAACUUCGGGAGAAGGGGGGCCGGAGGCUCUGAAGCUCCUUGCGGGCUAGGGGCAGCCGGUCGCAGAGACCAGGCCCAAGCGACUGUUUACUAAAAACACAGGUCCGUGCGAAGUCGCAAGACGAUGUAUACGGACUGACGCCUGCCCGGUGCUGGAACGUUAAGAGGACCCGUUAGUCCUUCGGGGCGAAGCGGAGAAUUUAAGCGCCAGUAAACGGCGGUGGUAACUAUAACCAUCCUAAGGUAGCGAAAUUCCUUGUCGGGUAAGUUCCGACCUGCACGAAUGGCGUAACGAUGGCGGCGCUGUCUCCACCCGAGACUCAGUGAAAUUGAAAUCGCUGUGAAGAUGCAGUGUAUCCGCGGCUAGACGGAAAGACCCCGUGAACCUUUACUAUAGCUUUGCACUGGACUUUGAAUUUGCUUGUGUAGGAUAGGUGGGAGGCUUUGAAGCGUGGACGCCAGUCUGCGUGGAGCCAUCCUUGAAAUACCACCCUGGCAACUUUGAGGUUCUAACUCAGGUCCGUUAUCCGGAUCGAGGACAGUGUAUGGUGGGUAGUUUGACUGGGGCGGUCUCCUCCUAAAGAGUAACGGAGGAGUACGAAGGUGCGCUCAGACCGGUCGGAAAUCGGUCGUAGAGUAUAAAGGCAAAAGCGCGCUUGACUGCGAGACAGACACGUCGAGCAGGUACGAAAGUAGGUCUUAGUGAUCCGGUGGUUCUGUAUGGAAGGGCCAUCGCUCAACGGAUAAAAGGUACUCCGGGGAUAACAGGCUGAUACCGCCCAAGAGUUCAUAUCGACGGCGGUGUUUGGCACCUCGAUGUCGGCUCAUCACAUCCUGGGGCUGAAGCCGGUCCCAAGGGUAUGGCUGUUCGCCAUUUAAAGUGGUACGCGAGCUGGGUUUAGAACGUCGUGAGACAGUUCGGUCCAUAUCCGGUGUGGGCGUUAGAGCAUUGAGAGGACCUUUCCCUAGUACGAGAGGACCGGGAAGGACGCACCUCUGGUGUACCAGUUAUCGUGCCCACGGUAAACGCUGGGUAGCCAAGUGCGGAGCGGAUAACUGCUGAAAGCAUCUAAGUAGUAAGCCCACCCCAAGAUGAGCUGAAUUGAUCUUCUUUGGGGGC